UUUCAGUGGUGCCCAGGGACAGGACAAGAGGAAAUGGGCACAGACUGGAACACAAGAAGCUCCAUCUAAAGAUGAGGAGGAAGUUCUUCCCUUUGAGGGUGGCAGAGCCCUGGAAGAGGCUGCCCAGAGAGGUGGUGGUCUCCUUCUCUGGAGACAUUCAGAUCCACCUGGACACCUUCCUGUGCAACCUGCUUUGGCAGGGGGGUAUUCUGUGAUUGUCACGCUGAGAAAUACAGAUUUCUCUUCGGGAAAUCCGCAGCCAUAAAACUUUUGAUUACAGGCAUGUCGUUAUGAGAUGUUUAGCUGGUGGGGCCAGCCCUUUUCCCUCUCUGCGGGUGGAAGAAGGUGGUGAACUUUUAAAGGAAUUAGAAGGGCAAAGAUCUACUCUGGCAGUUUUGGACAGAGGAAUUCAGAGUCAGACCCAGCUGGGAUAGGAAAGAUGAGCUGUGCUGGAAUAUAUUGUUGGUGACAAGUUCUUUCACCUUAUCACCCUGAGAGUGAUAAACUCUGCAAGGAUGUUUGGGGUUUUUUCUAUUAAUUUUUUUUUUCCCUUCACUUCUCUUUGUACUGUUAAAUAAAAAUACACUUUGUGCCUGUAUGGCAGGUCAGCUCCCACUCACCUAUCCCAUGUCCAUGAGGGGUCUGAGCUGCAACACAUAACCUGGGGGGUGUGCAGCCUGGGACCUCCAGGAGCUGGGUCGGAGGUCCCUGAAAGGAGGGACCUUCUCUGGAGAACGUGCCUGAAGAAAUCAUGGGACCCGUGCUGGGUUUAGUCCAAGACUCUCUGUUCAUGUAUCUGGGUGGAGUUUCAGAGCCAACAGGCUGCGUGGCGUGCAGGUUGGGCACUUUGCCUAUCUUCUCGGUCCUCCCCCUGAGGAGGCCACCCAUACCAGAGAAAGCAACGGUGCUGACAUCUACUGGUUAUUAUUCAGCUGUUAAUUAUUAGUAACACAUGGUGUCCUUUCUGAAUGACAUGCAAACGGUCCAGCACCUUGCGACGUCGCCAAAUGCACUGCGGAAGGUUCAGCUUCUCUUGUCCUUUCUGGUCUUCUCCGGUGGCAUCUCCAGUUAUAACGUGGUUUCCUCAUUUCACUCUUCUGCAUUAAGGUGCCAAGUACCUUCCUGGUGGGUGCUGCGCGGGGCUGCAGAGCGGCUGCAGGUGGGUUGGAGGCACAAAGUAGAACACAUCAACAGUACCUGGUAUUUGCCACGUGAUAAUGUGUUGCUGAGAUGGAAUUGUGGAGCUGGAGUGGACUUGCAAAGAGAACAUAACAGCAUGAAUUAGAGCUUCAAAUACUGGGAAUAGUCACAUUUUUUAAAUGCAAAAUGAGCGAGGAGACCAGCAAAGUGCUAAGCAGAGAUAGUGCUACUUUUCGGCUUCUCAAAGUUUUAUUACAGGAUAGUUGAGGUGGGAAGAGACCUCUUCCAAUCAUCUAAUCCAACCCCUGCUCAAAGCGGGGCCACCAAGAGCCCAGGGCUGUGUCCAGUCACGUGUUGAAUAUCUUCAAGGGUGGAAGAUACAGUCAGCCUCUCCGGGCAGCCUGUGCCUGUGUUUGACCGAUCUCACAGUAAAAGUGUUUUCACUUUUUUGUUCAGAUGGAGUUUGAGGUUUCUCGUUUGUGCCCACGGCCUGUUGUCCUGUCAGCAGGCUCUGCUGAGAUGGGCCUGGCUCCCACUUCUCCAUUCCCUCCUUUCACGUAUCCAUGCGCACUGAUGGGAUAUCCUAAGGAGGAGUUAGUCUUCCUUGCUAUGGACAUCCCCUCUGGUCUCAGGCACGUGGGAUUUCUGAAGACUGGUCUUACCAGUGAAGUCUGAGGUGAAGGUGGCCUUGGCCUUGUUUGGAGACAAGAGACAAGUUCUCUAGACUUGGUCUACAGAACAAGUCAUACGAGGAGGGAGCUGGGCACAUUUAGUUUGGAGGAGACUGAGGGGAGACCUCAUUGCCCUCUACAACUCCCUGACAGGAGGUUGUAGAGGGGUGGGUGUUGGCUUCUUCUCCCAAGAGGAAAUGGUCUGAAGUUGGGGCAGGGGAGGUUUAGAUCAGAUAUUAGGAAGAAUGACUUUACUGAGAGGGUGGUCAGGCACUGGAACAGCCUGUCCAGGGAGGUGGUGGAGUCACCAUCCCUGGAGGGAUUUAAGAAACGUGUAGACAUGGCACUUCAGGGCAUGCUCUAGUGCCUGAGAUUGUUGGGUUGGGUGUUUUGUUUUGUAUUUGGUGGUGUGUUGGUGCGUGGUUGGUUGGUUGGUUUGUUUUUUGGUUUUGGUGUGUGGGGUUUUUUUUUGUG
This 2285-nucleotide long non-coding RNA is filed under the name Calidris pugnax (ruff). Its description in RNAcentral is "lncRNA (ENSCPUG00000005593.1)". Lineage: Eukaryota; Metazoa; Chordata; Aves; Charadriiformes; Scolopacidae. The record is from RNAcentral.